Molecule: ribosomal RNA, 508 nt
Filed under: uncultured bacterium
Lineage: Bacteria
Description: partial 16S ribosomal RNA
Rfam family: Bacterial small subunit ribosomal RNA
Source: RNAcentral
GAUGAACGCUAGCUACAGGCUUAACACAUGCAAGUCGAGGGGAAACGAUAGGGAAAGCUUGCUUUUUCUAGGCGUCGACCGGCGCACGGGUGAGUAACGCGUAUCCAACCUGCCCAUCACUUGGGGAUAACCUUGCGAAAGUAAGACUAAUACCCAAUGACGUCUCUAGAGGACAUCUGAAGGAGAUUAAAGAUUUAUCGGUGAUGGAUGGGGAUGCGUCUGAUUAGCUUGUUGGCGGGGUAACGGCCCACCAAGGCGACGAUCAGUAGGGGUUCUGAGAGGAAGGUCCCCCACAUUGGAACUGAGACACGGUCCAAACUCCUACGGGAGGCAGCAGUGAGGAAUAUUGGUCAAUGGACGAGAGUCUGAACCAGCCAAGUAGCGUGCAGGAAGACGGCCCUAUGGGUUGUAAACUGCUUUUAUAAGGGAAUAAAGUGAGUCUCGUGAGACUUUUUGCAUGUACCUUAUGAAUAAGGACCGGCUAAUUCCGUGCCAGCAGCCGCAGUAA